RNAcentral lists this transfer RNA (66 nucleotides) under uncultured Bariatricus sp. The stretch from base 6 to 63 matches the Rfam family "tRNA", at positions 8 to 63 of the family's 71-position model. Rfam says of the family: Transfer RNA (tRNA) molecules are approximately 80 nucleotides in length. Their secondary structure includes four short double-helical elements and three loops (D, anti-codon, and T loops). Lineage: Bacteria; Bacillati; Bacillota; Clostridia; Lachnospirales; Lachnospiraceae. The record is from RNAcentral.
GCGUGUAGCUCAGGUGGUAGAGCACUUGACUUUUAAUCAAGUUGUCCGGGGUUCGAAUCCCCGAUG